RNAcentral lists this ribosomal RNA (502 nucleotides) under uncultured bacterium. RNAcentral describes it as "partial 16S ribosomal RNA". It matches the Rfam family "Bacterial small subunit ribosomal RNA", at positions 899 to 1397 of the family's 1533-position model. The record is from RNAcentral.
ACUCAAAUGAAUUGACGGGGGCCCGCACAAGCGGUGGAGUAUGUGGUUUAAUUCGACGCUACGCGCAGAACCUUACCAACCUUUGACAUGUCCACUAUGGGUCUGAGAGAUCAGAUCCUUCACUUCGGGUGGGUGGAACACAGGUGCUGCAUGGCUGUCGUCAGCUCGUGUCGUGAGAUGUUGGGUUAAGUCCCGCAACGAGCGCAACCCCCAUCUUUAGUUGCCAUCAGGUUAAGCUGGGCACUCUAGAGAAACCGCCGGUGACAAGCCGGAGGAAGGCGGGGAUGACGUCAAGUCCUCAUGGCCCUUACAGGUUGGGCUACACACGUACUACAAUGACAGUGACAAUGGGAUGCAACUCCGCAAGGGGAAGCCGACCUCAAAAAGCUGUCUCAGUUCGGAUUGUCCUCUGCAACUCGAGGGCAUGAAGCUGGAAUCGCUAGUAAUCGCGCAACAGCAUGGCGCGGUGAAUACGUUCCCGGGCCUUGUACACACCGCCCGU